UUUCGAAUCAUUCACAAUGGGCGAAAGCCUGAUGGUGCGACGCCGCGUGAGGGAUGAAGGUCUUCGGAUUGUAAACCUCUGUCACUGGGGACAAAACGUUAAAAGUUAAUAGCUUUUAGCCUGAUUUAACCCGGAGAGGAAGCAGUGGCUAACUCUGUGCCAGCAGCCGCGGUAAUACAGAGACUGCAAGCGUUAUUCGGAUUCACUGGGCGUAAAGGGUGCGCAGGUGGCCAAGUGUGUGAGGCGUGAAAGCCCGAAGCUCAACUUCGGAAUUGCACCUCAAACUACAUGGCUAGAGCUUUGGAGAGGGAAACAGAAUUCACGGUGUAGCAGUGAAAUGCGUAGAUAUCGUGAGGAAUACCAGAGGCGAAGGCGGUUUCCUGGACAAAUGCUGACACUCAGGCACGAAAGCGUGGGGAGCAAAAGGGAUUAGAUACCCCCGUAGUCC
This 448-nucleotide ribosomal RNA is filed under the name uncultured bacterium. Its description in RNAcentral is "bacterial SSU rRNA". It matches the Rfam family "Bacterial small subunit ribosomal RNA", at positions 355 to 796 of the family's 1533-position model. The record is from RNAcentral.